Molecule: transfer RNA, 65 nt
Filed under: Myodermum sp. MYO01
Lineage: Eukaryota; Metazoa; Arthropoda; Insecta; Coleoptera; Scarabaeidae
Description: tRNA-Thr
Source: RNAcentral
GUUUUAAUAAUUUAAUAAAAAUAACGGUCUUGUAAAUCGUAUAUAAGAAUCACUCUUUUAAAACU